Molecule: ribosomal RNA, 460 nt
Filed under: uncultured bacterium
Lineage: Bacteria
Description: partial 16S ribosomal RNA
Rfam family: Bacterial small subunit ribosomal RNA
Source: RNAcentral
CCUACGGGAGGCAGCAGUGAGGAAUAUUGGUCAAUGGACGAGAGUCUGAACCAGCCAAGUAGCGUGAAGGAUGACUGCCCUAUGGGUUGUAAACUUCUUUUAUAAAGGAAUAAAACGAGGCACGUGUUCCUUUUUGCAUGUACUUUAUGAAUAAGGAUCGGCUAACUCCGUGCCAGCAGCCGCGGUAAUACGGAGGAUCCGAGCGUUAUCCGGAUUUAUUGGGUUUAAAGGGAGAGUAGAUGGGUUGUUAAGUCAGUUGUGAAAGUUUGCGGCUCAACCGUAAAAUUGCAAUUGAUACUGGAAGUCUUGAGUACAGUUGAGGUAGGCGGAAUUCGUGGUGUAGCGGUGAAAUGCUUAGAUAUCACGAAGAACCCCGAUUGCGAAGGCAGCUUACUAAACUGUGACUGACAUUGAUGCUCGAAAGUGUGGGUAUCAAACAGGAUUAGAUACCCUGGUAGUC